AACUCGACUACAUGAAGCUGGAAUCGCUAGUAAUCGUAGAUCAGCAUGCUACGGUGAAUACGUUCCCGGGUCUUGUACACACCGCCCGUCACACCACGAGAGUUUGUAACACCCGAAGCCGGUGGAGUAACCUUUUAGGAGCUAGCCGUCGAAGGUGGGACAAAUGAUUGGGGUGAAGUCGUAACAAGGUAGCCGUAUCGGAAGGUGCGGCUGGAUCACCUCCUUU
RNAcentral lists this ribosomal RNA (226 nucleotides) under Staphylococcus aureus. Its description in RNAcentral is "partial 16S ribosomal RNA". It matches the Rfam family "Bacterial small subunit ribosomal RNA", at positions 1309 to 1533 of the family's 1533-position model. The record is from RNAcentral. Lineage: Bacteria; Bacillati; Bacillota; Bacilli; Caryophanales; Staphylococcaceae.